GCUGGGACCCCCUUCGAUUAUCCAUGCUGCCCCGAGAAACUCCUAGGCUAGUAGUCUGAGGGAGGAGAUAAAGCCCUUUCUUCUCCCGGAAAAGUGCAGCGGAGCGCGGUGAGGACCCGCUCAGUGGACUCGGCAGAGGCGGGAGCUCUCCUUAUCAAUUCGAGCUCAUUUCCCUCACCCUGGCCCUGCCCGCUUCCCUGCUUCGCAAACUGUUGGCUUCCCCGUCACCACUCAGUUUGGCUAAUUUUCCAGAGACGCCUUUAAACCUGGCAGGAGAAUCCUUCCACCACCCCCACCCCCACCCGGUGGCCCCCUUUCCCCCGUCUCGCUCAUUUCAAAGCGCGGAAGUUCGGGCAUCUAUCUCCCCUUCCAGUGCGGGGCGGCACCGAGGACCCAAGGGGAGGAAGUGGGGCUUUGAGGACGCGUUUGGAGCGGGAGCCGGGAGGCCGGGAGGCCGGGAGGGAUUUUCCCUCCCGGGCACCAGGCGCAGUCGCUUUAACUCCAGUAACUAUGAGAAGUUCAAGUUAGAAGGCAGGUGUUGGGGGAAGGGGUGGGGGCUGUGGAACGAGUGGGGGGGCGGGGGCGCAGUGGGGUGCGGGGUCUCUGCGCCCCACCCAGCAUCGUGGCCAGCAGCCGCAGCUGCCUUCUGACCCCCUCGGUAGAGCCCCCAGCGGCCCCCCACUCGGGCACCCCCACUCCCCCGGCCCUGGAACUACUUCUGUAAAAAGUCUGAGCCGCCGGCAUCUAGGCGGAGGAGGGCAGGGUGGGGGAGGCGAGGCGAAAUCGAUACGCUCGGUCCCUAACCUGUAAUUGCACCUUCCAGGGCUGAGCAGAAAGGGACCCUCUGCUCGCAUCCCGCCCGCGCACCCGCCCGUCCGCCCGCCCGGGAGAGCCGCCGCCACCGCCGCCGCCUCCCGGCUCAGAGGGAUCCCGCCGGACCUGCCCCUUCCACUGCGGCUCACUCUGCCCUGCCUGGCGCCGGUCCUGGAUCGCCGGCUUCCUAUCUAUACCGGACUGGGCUCCUUUCGACUCACUUUACCAUCCCGUUCCAGGCUGGCGACUUCGCUGCUGAGCUGAAACUGCUAAUUUCUGUGACCAGCUUUUUUCUUAGCUGUGAUCUGGAUGAAUGAGUAGCUGUCUCACAGAGAUGACAAAAAUAAACUCUAAUCCCCCCCAAAA
Non-coding RNA from Chlorocebus sabaeus (green monkey), 1179 nucleotides. The record is from RefSeq and is a predicted model, not a curated record. Lineage: Eukaryota; Metazoa; Chordata; Mammalia; Primates; Cercopithecidae.